This 262-nucleotide unclassified non-coding RNA is filed under the name Hevea brasiliensis (rubber tree). Lineage: Eukaryota; Viridiplantae; Streptophyta; Magnoliopsida; Malpighiales; Euphorbiaceae. The record is from RNAcentral.
GGAGAACGUAGCGAAGAAGGCGUGGCAGAAAUUGCCGAUUUAAGGGCUUCGAAGAGACGGGAGGAAAGGGAGGGGCCGGAGUGGGAAAUAUCGAGGUGGGGAGAAUGCUUGAUGGCGAGGCGGUGGGAGUGGUGGUGAGGUGGAGGAUCGGUGGUGAUGACAUGGAAGUGGUCGGAGGUGUGUGCGGUGGAGAGGAAGGAAGUGAGGAGAGAGGAGGAAUCAGGAGCGAAAGAGGAGCCAACGAGACGGAUAUGAAGGGAAA